Molecule: ribosomal RNA, 497 nt
Filed under: uncultured bacterium
Lineage: Bacteria
Description: partial 16S ribosomal RNA
Rfam family: Bacterial small subunit ribosomal RNA
Source: RNAcentral
GAUGAACGCUGGCGGCGUGCCUAAUACAUGCAAGUCGAGCGAACGGACGAGAAGCUUGCUUCUCUGAUGUUAGCGGCGGACGGGUGAGUAACACGUGGAUAACCUACCUAUAAGACUGGGAUAACUUCGGGAAACCGGAGCUAAUACCGGAUGAUAUUUUGAACCGCAUGGUUCAAAAGUGAAAGACGGUCUUGCUGUCACUUAUAGAGGGAUCCGCGCUGCAUUAGCUAGUUGGUAAGGUAACGGCUUACCAAGGCAACGAUGCAUAGCCGACCUGAGAGGGUGAUCGGCCCCACUGGAACUGAGACACGGUCCAGACUACUACGGGAGGCAGCAGUAGGGAAUGUUCCGCAAUGGGCGAAAGCCUGACGGAGCAACGCCGCGUGAGUGAUGAAGGUCUUCGGAUCGUAAAACUCUGUUAUUAGGGAAGAACAUAUGUGUAAGUAACUGUGCACAUCUUGACGGUACCUAAUCAGAAAGCCACGGCUAACUACGUG